This is a long non-coding RNA of Mastomys coucha (southern multimammate mouse), 989 nucleotides long. RefSeq lists it as uncharacterized. The record is from RefSeq and is a predicted model, not a curated record. NCBI's taxonomy places the organism in Eukaryota, Metazoa, Chordata, Mammalia, Rodentia, Muridae. The transcript has 4 exons.
UGGCCUCAGCCUCAACAUCUUCUUGCCUCUUCCUCCCAUAUGCUUAUUUUACAGAGACACAUCACUACACUCAGCCUCUCUUGGGUGAUGUUUCUGUCUGUUUUGUGGAAUAGACUCAGCCAUAAUAUCUCUAUGAUUUUUACAAAUUUCUCAAAUUUAGUAUAGUAUAGUAUAGCAUAGUAUAGUAUAAAUUUCCACAAAUUUAGAGUAAACUGGCUGAAACUCAGGCAGCAUCAGACCUCUGAGGGCUCAGGACUGGUGUGUCCUGUAACACUUGCCAGCCACCCUCUCUGAAGUGAAAUGCAUUCUAUCUGAGCCCCAGCUGGCUCAUUGUAGCUGCCUUGAAGUCCUUGUACAAGACCAAGUAAUAGAAGGCCUGUGGAUUGUUACAGAGAGGGAUAAACACCCCAAGGAUCUAACUGGGUGAUGGUGAUCUUCUUGUAAGACAUCUCAUAACUCUACCAUCUGGUUUCGCUAUCCCGUGAGUAUGGUCGGUCAACCAGUGUUGUGCUGAACCGGAAAGGUGUUGAGAAAGGGACAACAUCAGGCAGGACAUCAUGGUGUGACAAAGACCACUCAUGGAGUGGAAGAUGGGAAGCAGAAAGGAAGGCAGGAGAGAGCAGCAGCAAGACACACAGAGGACCUGCCCCCAGUGGCCUCUACUCUCCAGCGGCUUUCCAAAGUCCCCUUAAAGGAGCCCCAUAGACUGAGGACCAAUCACUCAAAGCACAAGCCCACAGGCAGGAAGGCAUUUCAGGUAUCUGUGAGAUGGCUUUGCUUAUCAUGAUGUCCCUCCAUAAGCACAAAGGAAGAAAGCCAGUCAAUCAUAAAUUAGAGUCUCCAAAAUACAUAUAGUUAAACAUAUGAACAACCUUCCUAUCAGCUUUCUUUAUCCUGCUGCCAUGCCAUGUCAUGCCUACCCUGACUAUGUUGAACUCUUCCUCUGGAACUGUAAACUAAAAUAAAGUCUGGUAAAACCAUAAACUAAA